This 433-nucleotide ribosomal RNA is filed under the name uncultured bacterium. RNAcentral's name for it is "partial 16S ribosomal RNA". It matches the Rfam family "Bacterial small subunit ribosomal RNA", at positions 29 to 507 of the family's 1533-position model. The record is from RNAcentral.
AACGAACGCUGGCGGCAUGCCUAACACAUGCAAGUCGAACGAGACCUUCGGGUCUAGUGGCGCACGGGGGCGUAACGCGUGGGAACCUGCCCUUAGGUUCGGAAUAACUCCCCGAAAGGGGUGCUAAUACCGGAUAAUGUCUUCGGACCAAAGAUUUAUCGCCUUUGGAUGGGCACGCGUUGGAUUAGCUAGUUGGUAGGGUAAAAGCCUACCAAGGCGACGAUCCAUAGCUGGGUUGAGAGGAUGCUCAGCCACACUGGGACUGAGACACGGCCCAGACUCCUACGCGAGGGAGCAGUGGGGAAUAGUGGACCAUGGGCGAAAGGCUGAUCCAGCAAUGCCGCGUGAGUGAUGAAGGCAUUAGGGUUGUAAAGCUCUUUUAACCGGGAUGAUAAUGACAGUACCGGGAGAAUAAGCUCCGGCUAACUCCGUG